UACCCGCAGCACAAGUGGUGGUCAUUAUUAUUGGGCCUAAAGCGUCCGUAGCUGGCUUGUUAGAUGCCUGGGUAAAUCGAUGCGCUCAACGUAUCGAAUUCCGGGUAGACCGGCAAGCUCGAGGCCGGGAGAGGUGUAGGCUACUCGAGGGGUAGGGGUAAAAUCCUGUAAUCCUUCGGGGAGGACCAGUGGCGAAGGCGCUACACUAGAACGGCUCUGACAGUGAGGGACGAAGCCCUGGGGCGCAAACCGG
This 253-nucleotide ribosomal RNA is filed under the name uncultured bacterium. Its description in RNAcentral is "partial 16S ribosomal RNA". It matches the Rfam family "Archaeal small subunit ribosomal RNA", at positions 474 to 727 of the family's 1478-position model. The record is from RNAcentral.